Molecule: ribosomal RNA, 322 nt
Filed under: uncultured Arthrobacter sp.
Lineage: Bacteria; Bacillati; Actinomycetota; Actinomycetes; Micrococcales; Micrococcaceae
Description: bacterial SSU rRNA
Rfam family: Bacterial small subunit ribosomal RNA
Source: RNAcentral
GAUGAACGCUGGCGGCGUGCUUAACACAUGCAAGUCGAACGAUGAUGCCCACUUGUGGGUGGAUUAGUGGCGAACGGGUGAGUAACACAUGAGUAACCUGCCCUUGACUCUGGGAUAAGCCUGGGAAACUGGGUCUAAUACCGGAUAUGACCUUCCAUCGCAUGGUGGUUGGUGUAAAGCUUUUGUGGUUUUGGAUGGACUCGCGGCCUAUCAGCUUGUUGGUGGGGUAAUGGCCUACCAAGGCGACGACGGGUAGCCGGCCUGAGAGGGUGACCGGCCACACUGGGACUGAGACACGGCCCAGACUCCUACGGGAGGCAGC